This is a non-coding RNA of Pteropus alecto (black flying fox), 168 nucleotides long. The record is from Rfam. NCBI's taxonomy places the organism in Eukaryota, Metazoa, Chordata, Mammalia, Chiroptera, Pteropodidae.
ACCUUAUUUAAGCUCUAUGCUUAAAUGGCAGAAACUAGUAUCAUGUCUAAGUAAUUGUAAUAAAGCUAGCAGAGUAGACACAAAAAGAUAAACAGCUAUACCAGAUAGUAGAAAAACUAAGAUGAACCUCUUUCUUAAGUCCUUUGUUUUAAGACUAGUACAAUAAUA